RNAcentral lists this long non-coding RNA (1031 nucleotides) under Marmota monax (woodchuck). The record is from RNAcentral. Lineage: Eukaryota; Metazoa; Chordata; Mammalia; Rodentia; Sciuridae.
GGCUACUGCUUUUCUGCAUUUUGAUUCCUUUCUCCAAGAAAAGGAAGCAUUUGUAGGGGUAUGGGCAUUAGGUGAGUGAGGAUGAGACCUAGAUGUGAUGAUGGGAAAAGAGGCUGCUAUUACCAGCUGAGUCUGAAAACAUUGUUACCAUAAAAAAAUAUGUAUUUGAAAACAUAUUUUAAGAAUGCUGGUGAACAAAGGAUGGCUUCUAAUCCCUGUUUCCAAAGACUCUCUUUGUCUGUAAUACAGAGAUGUAUAAUAACUGGCCUCACAGAUGUUGCAAGAAUUAAAUGGUCCAAAGGAGAGUGCUUUGAGCAGUUGCCAUAAUAAAUGCUCAAUGCAUACAUUUAUUUAUUUAUCUCAAAAAGCAAAAACCUACUAAUUCAGUUUCUUGGCACUAUUGGUAUUUGGGGCUGGACAAUUAUUUGUUGUAGGGAGAUGUCCUGGGCGGGUAGGAUGUUUAUCCUCUGCCUAGUUGAUGCCAGUAGCACCCCUCCCCCAUCCAGUUGUGAUAACAAAAAGAUCUUUAGAAAUUGUCAAAUGUACCUGAGGAGCAAAGUUGCCACCAGUUGAGAACUAUUGUUCUAGAUGUACAGUUCUAAAUCUCAAAUCACUGACCAUGGCUCUGUCUAUCCUAUCAUACCAUCAUUUAAGACAAUUAAACAUUGAACUCCUGCAGGGGACCUUCCUGACUGAAUCCUCCUUCAUUUGCCCCUCUCUGGUGAGAACUCAGUCUACAAUGUCUCCUUUUCCUCUUUCUUCUUCUUCCACACACAGAACACUGUUCUGAGGAACUGUUCAAUCAUAGCUCAACAAAUAAUCAGGUUAUUCUUUCCUGCUUAUGCUAGUGACACCUCAGAAGCAAUCCAGAUGAAAUUUUUACCAGGCUGGCCUUGAACUCCUGGGCUCAAGUAAUCCUCCUUCCUUAGCCCCCUGGAUACCUGGGACUAUAGGUGUGCACCACCAUGCCCUGGGAGAAGGGGAAUAUAUAUAUAUAUAUAUAUAUAUAUAUAUAUAUAUAUAUAUAUAUA